UACGUAGGGUGCAAGCGUUGUCCGGAAUUAUUGGGCGUAAAGAGCUCGUAGGCGGCUUGUCGCGUCUGCCGUGAAAACCCAGGGCUCAACCCUGGGCGUGCGGUGGGUACGGGCAGGCUAGAGUGCGGUAGGGGAGAUUGGAAUUCCUGGUGUAGCGGUGGAAUGCGCAGAUAUCAGGAGGAACACCGAUGGCGAAGGCAGAUCUCUGGGCCGCUACUGACGCUGAGGAGCGAAAGCAUGGGGAGCGAAC
This 250-nucleotide ribosomal RNA is filed under the name uncultured prokaryote. RNAcentral's name for it is "partial 16S ribosomal RNA". It matches the Rfam family "Bacterial small subunit ribosomal RNA", at positions 524 to 773 of the family's 1533-position model. The record is from RNAcentral.